CUGCGGGGUCCCAGUACGGCCUCUCGCUGCCCUCACCCCCAUCUCUUUCCACAGUUGCCUUCCCGGCUCCAGUGCGCAGCAACCCCAGGGCAGCUGCCACUGGUGGUUACCCGUGGCUGGUGGAUGCGUGGCGUGGUGGCAGCACAGCCGGUGCUGCCGGUUGUUUGGGGACCACUGAGAGAUACUACAAUGAUGCCGGCAUCACUCGGUACAUCGCCCAGACGGAGCAGUUCGGAGCGGGGGCUGGCGAGGGGCCGGUUUACAGCACCAUCGACGUUGACAGUGAGGAGCUCUGCACAUUCCCCCGUCCCUUCUCACAGUAUGGGACCUCCUACCUUGGGGGGAGUUCCCAGCCAAUGGAUGCUGCAGCCUCCCAGGUGCCCCGUGGCCGGGCUGAGCACGGUAGGGUGGUCGGAUGGGUGGGGGCACAUGUGGGUGCUCGUGGUGCGGUGCCCUCCCCACAGCCCCCCCAGCAUCCCUCCUUGGCACAGGGGCCAAAGCAAAGCUGGGGCAAGCAGUGAAACCACCGGUGGUGAGCUGGACAGAGCUGCUGCCCCCACCACCCUCAGCCAGUGAGCUCAGCCAGUGUGCCCAGGAGGAGGAGAAGGAGGAGGAAGAAGAAGAUGAAGAGGAAGAUGCAGCUGGAGGGUGAGUAUGGGGGCUUGGGGGCUGGGCAUGCUGCUCCCAGCACCUACUCUGUGGUCUCCACCCUGCAGGUUGGGGAUGGAGGUGUGGUACCGUGGUGAGGACGUGCCCUGUGCCACUGCUGCAUCCUCACCCACCACCUCGUCCGGCUGCCGUUCCACCGCCACGCUGACACCAUCGCCUCGCACCACGGAGGACAUCCCUCGCCUCCGCGACUUCGAUAGCUCCCUCCUGUCCUGGUAGGAGAUGGGCCUUGCUUGGUAUGGCCGUGCCAUUGGGGUCUGGAUGUCCCAUUGGGGUCCAGAUGUCCCAUCAAGGUCCAGAUGUCCCACCAUGGCCUGGGCGUUCCAUUGUGAUUCAGCCAUGUUGUCACUACCCAGCCCUGCCAUGCCAU
This 1039-nucleotide long non-coding RNA is filed under the name Parus major (Great Tit). RNAcentral's name for it is "lncRNA (ENSPMJG00000008806.1)". Lineage: Eukaryota; Metazoa; Chordata; Aves; Passeriformes; Paridae. The record is from RNAcentral.